Molecule: long non-coding RNA, 766 nt
Organism: Peromyscus eremicus (cactus mouse)
Lineage: Eukaryota; Metazoa; Chordata; Mammalia; Rodentia; Cricetidae
Exons: 3
Source: RefSeq, a predicted model, not a curated record
AUUCCUAGAGGGGCAUUCAGUGAUUCUGGUGGCCUCCUCCACUGGGGCAGUCACAGGUGCAAAUGACAGCGGAAUAUCCCUACAGGGCACAUGGUUUCACCCUGAUACUUAUAUCUUUGUCUCCUAUGGACUCCAUGACCCCUUUCAAAGCAACCAACGUUGACUGAGCACCAAGAUAAAGGAUACAAGCGAUCACCCAAGCAGAUGGAAUGUCAGGCAGCCAGGCCGGAAGAAAGCAUGGCCUCCUGAAGGGAGAGGGAAGAAAGACUCAGACCGAUGGAGUAUGUCUGCUGUGGGGUUACAAGAAUGGUGGAUGGCUCAGUCCUGACCUAGCACCCAGUAUCUGGUAGACACAGAACCGUGUCUAGUGAGAAGUCUAAGGAUAAAUCUCCAGGAGAAAGACGGUCCCGUGGUGGUAAGAACAAUGGCAAACGGGCAGACUCCUCGGGGUGUCUUCGCGGCUUACUUGCCUCAGUCCCCAGGUCGCUCACCCUUUCCAGCCAGCCAGCCUCGGACAGCCGGGAAUCGUCAUGAUCAGGUCGGAAGGAGGGCAGGAAGCGGCGCUCACUGUCAGUGGUUCGGAUUCUUUCUUCCAGCCUCCCUGGGGCUGGCAAGGGCAGCAGCGAGUCUAGCCAUUCUUCAGGUUAGCUAAGGUGCAUGAAGAUGUUACAAAGGGCCAUGCCUUUUCCUCCAGAAGGAAAAGUGACGCACACAACCUUCUCCCUGGAGCUACUCAAGUCGUAGCUCAGAUGGUUUCCGCUCGCAC